UACAACCAAACCCUGCAAGUUGACUUCUUUCUUGGGUUAUAAGGUUGGAAUGAAUCACAUUGCGAGAGGGCUUAAAAAGUUUGUAUCAAGUAAAAUCACUCUUUCAUCUAUAGCAUUUCAGUUCAGUAUUCACAUUUUCAACAUACAUAUAAUCAUUUAGACUCUGACUUCAGCAAAUUGUACGAAAAAUUAUCUAACAUGUACAAAAGAAGGCUAAAGGAGGAUGGGAGUCGAGGAUUCACCGGAGAAGCUUAAAGAAAAAGAACAAUAAAAUGAGUAAAAGAAGGAGACACGAUCUUCAUUCAAAAAGAUAAUAAAGAUAGGCAACACUCUUUGCUUGGAGUAUGAAGUUUGGCAAGAUUCUUAUUCAUAAUUUCUCAAAAAUAUGUAUUUUUCAACGGAUUAUUUGCUUGUGUCCUUGAAAUCUUUUCUUCUUUCUAACUUUCAUUUGUAUUGAAAAUAGGUGCAACUUGAAUCAAUUUUUUCAGUCUUUGUGAGUAGAAAAAUGAGUGUAUUACAUGGUGUUCGCAUGUAACUUCACAGACACUUAUCAAAUUUUAAGGGUUACAUGUGAAUAGUGUAAAAUUAGCUGAUGAGGCUAUAACAAGACAUGUUGAAAUGGUUUGGAAAGCAUUUCAAGUAAGUUGCUCUCAAUAUAAAGUUACAUAAAACUGCCCAUAAACCCUCUCUAGAUUUUGAGUCCCUCU
Molecule: long non-coding RNA, 707 nt
Organism: Solanum tuberosum (potato)
Lineage: Eukaryota; Viridiplantae; Streptophyta; Magnoliopsida; Solanales; Solanaceae
Exons: 2
Source: RefSeq, a predicted model, not a curated record